This 253-nucleotide ribosomal RNA is filed under the name uncultured bacterium. RNAcentral's name for it is "partial 16S ribosomal RNA". It matches the Rfam family "Bacterial small subunit ribosomal RNA", at positions 524 to 776 of the family's 1533-position model. The record is from RNAcentral.
UACGAAGGGGGCUAGCGUUGCUCGGAAUUACUGGGCGUAAGGCGCACGUAGGCGGCUUUCUAAGUCGGGGGUGAAAUCCUGGAGCUCAACUCCAGAACUGCCUUCGAUACUGGAGAGCUUGAGUCCGGGAGAGGUGAGUGGAACUGCGAGUGUAGAGGUGAAAUUCGUAGAUAUUCGCAAGAACACCAGUGGCAAAGGCGGCUCACUGGCCCAUUACUGACGCUGAGGCACGAAAGCGUGGGGAGCAAACAGG